UCUGGUGACCUUGCGCCCACCCAAGGUUUCCAUGAGUCGCCAGAGGUUUUGGUCACUUGCCUGGAAAGCCUCGACCAAAGUGUGAGCUGCAUUUACUGACCAAAGAUCCUUUGCUACCGACCGCGCACACACACACACACACAAAUAUCGCGAAGGUGGGGGCCAGGGACAGCGGAGGAGCGCUGUCUGCGCGAUGAAGAGGAAGGUAAACGGCUGCUACAGAGCAUGGUCCUGAAAACCAAAGAUCCUCUUUGCUGAAAACUCCAAAAUGAGCCAAUCAAAAUGGCCGGUCAACGAAGGAGAUUGCCUUCGACUGCCUAAUUUCAGAAUUUCAACUGAGGAGAUCCAAAGAGUGAUUUGGAGAGAAGAUUUCAGAAAGGAAGAGUAGAUCAACAUCACGAUGGAAGUUAAAGUAAAAUGUAACAAUUGUAUGAGUAAUGUGAUCAUCCUUACAGCAGAAGAUAUAUCUGGUAUUGAAUCUAUGUUUACAUGUAUUUACAUUUGCAAGUCUUUCUUGUACUGGGUAACAGGAUCUUCCAGUUGCAUAAUGACAAUAUUCAAUCGGCUCCUCUGGCAAAAAAUCAUGAUUAUUACUAAAGCAGAAUUUAAUUAAACUGUAAAGUCUAGUCAAUCCAUUUAUAAAAGAUGUCUGCCUAG
Molecule: long non-coding RNA, 657 nt
Organism: Leucoraja erinaceus (little skate)
Lineage: Eukaryota; Metazoa; Chordata; Chondrichthyes; Rajiformes; Rajidae
Exons: 3
Source: RefSeq, a predicted model, not a curated record